AUAAUUUUUCGACUUUUGUUGUUAAUGAACAGACGAACAAAAUCCCAUAUGUACGUACUCAAAUUAUAAAAAGCGAGCGGAAAAAUAUUACACGUCAAACGUCGGCAAUAAAAAAAUAACAAAGAUAAAAUAGACAAGUUAUGUAUUGUAUAAAAAAUUGGUAUAAUUUGAGGUUGCAAAUACCCUGCAGGGAAAAUACUCGCUAGUACCGAACUAUGUAGUUCGCGUUCCUUAUCUUACCCAUAUAAGCAACUGGAUAUCAUUAAACAGUACAAGCAAACCAGUUUCAAAUAUUUUUUCAUAAUGAAUAUGAUAAGUUUUAUGAAUUAACAAAUUUACUCUUUAUAAAAUUAAAUUGGAACAUAUUUGACCACCCAACCCAAUUCGAACCAACUACUUCACGAGUGACUCGACGCCUGUGCUGUAAUACAGCUCUUGUACGUUAGUCUCAAUCACGGGAACGCAUGGAGUUUUGAGGGGUAACGUUCUCUGCUCGAUAAGCUUCGCAAUUGUCAAUAUCGUUCAAGUCCCGAAUCAGAGAUCUGUUUCACUAGCGUAAGAUUUACCUGCAGGGCACACACUUGUAUAUAUAUAUACAAAUAUAUAUGAACUCAAUGCCAAUGGCAUAAGAUUGGGCUGACAUAUAUACAUACACACGUACUACAUACAUAACAUAUAAAUAUAUAAAAAUGUAAAUAAUUUUCAAAAGCUCCCGCUCUUGAAACAUUUGCCAGUAAAAGUGCUCAACAUGUCGAAAAUUUAUCUUUUAUAUAUAAUAACGAAGAAAUGGUGAUAUUAUUAAGUAGUGAAUUUAUAAUUAAAAAACAUGAUCUUUUUUUUUUCUAACUGCAAGCUGAAUUAAUUUUGAAUUUAAAUUGUCUCUAAGCUAAGAAAACUAAUCAAACAUACCAAAAUAGAGUAGCAAAAAUUGUUAAACGCACAAAUUACGUACACAGAAAAUAUUUAUGUAUAUAGGAAAAAAACUGUAUAUGCAUAAUAAUAUAUUAAUGAAAGUGAAAUUUUUUUUCGUUUAUGCAGAUUUUUAUUUUUAACUACAAGCUAUUGUAUUUGAAUAGUGUUUUUUUUGUUUUUGUUUCUUUACUCCGAUUCGCAAAUGAUUUAAAGCACAAGCACAUAUACUUUUUAAUGUUUAUCUCAAACAGGUUUUAAGCAUAAAAAGAACUUAACAACUGCAACACACAUACGUAAAUAUGAGAGGCUGUAAACUUGAUUUAUUACACAAAGCACCAACUUAGCAACUAGUUUUGAUUCUGAGAUAUAUUAUUUUAAAGUGAUACAAUUUACUUGUAGAGUUACAAAAUGUGCACGCAUACAUACAUACAUACGUAUGUAGGACAAAGAUGUGCUUGUAUGCAGUGGCGAAAGUUAAACAAAACGAUUUGUAUUGGUAACUUAAUUUUCAAUAAAGAGAUUGUAAAAAGGUG
Molecule: long non-coding RNA, 1445 nt
Organism: Anastrepha ludens (Mexican fruit fly)
Lineage: Eukaryota; Metazoa; Arthropoda; Insecta; Diptera; Tephritidae
Exons: 2
Source: RefSeq, a predicted model, not a curated record